RNAcentral lists this ribosomal RNA (450 nucleotides) under Triticum aestivum (bread wheat). RNAcentral describes it as "partial small subunit ribosomal RNA". The record is from RNAcentral. Lineage: Eukaryota; Viridiplantae; Streptophyta; Magnoliopsida; Poales; Poaceae.
AUGAUUAUUCGUUCGCCGGAACCAGAAGUAAAAAUUGUUGUGGAUAGGGAUCCUGUAAAAACAACUUUUGAGGAAUGGGCCAGACCCGGCCAUUUCUCAAGAACACUAGCUAAGGGCCCUGAUACUACCACUUGGAUCUGGAACCUACAUGCUGAUGCUCACGAUUUCGAUAGUCAUACUAGUGAUUUGGAGGAGAUUUCUCGAAAAGUCUUUAGUGCUCAUUUCGGGGAACUUUCCAUUAUCUUUCUUUGGUUGAGUCUCAUGUACUUUCAUGGCGCCCGUUUUUCCAAUUAUGAAGCAUGGCUAAGUGAUCCUACUCACAUUGGACCCAGUGCUCAGGUAGUUUGGCCUAUAGUAGGGCAAGAAAUAUUGAAUGGUGAUGUAGGCGGGGGUUUCCGAGGAAUCCAAAUAACCUCUGGUUUUUUCAGCUUUGGCGAGCAUCUGGAAUAA